This 1021-nucleotide ribosomal RNA is filed under the name uncultured bacterium. RNAcentral describes it as "bacterial SSU rRNA". It matches the Rfam family "Bacterial small subunit ribosomal RNA", at positions 369 to 1399 of the family's 1533-position model. The record is from RNAcentral.
CAAAGGGGGAAACCCUGAACCCACCAACGCCGCGUGAAGGGAUGACGGUUUUUCGGAAUGUAAACCCUCUGUCCUUCUGUGAAGAUAGUGACGGUAGCAGAGAAGGAAGCUCCGCCUAAUUACGUGCCAGCAGCCGCGGGUAAUACGUAGGGAGCAAGCGUUGUCCGGAUUUACUGGGUGUAAAGGGUGCGUAGGCGGAUUGGCAAGUCAGAAGUGAAAUCCAUGGGCUUAACCCAUGAACUGCUUUUGAAACUGUUAGUCUUGAGUGAAGUAGAGGUAGGCGGAAUUCCCGGUGUAGCGGUGAAAUGUGUAGAUAUCGAGAGGAACACUCGUGGCGAAGGCGGGUUCCUGGACAUUAACUGACGUUGAGGCACGAAGGCCAGGGGAGCGAAAGGGAUUAGAUACCCCUGUAGUCCUGGCAGUAAACGGUGCACGCUUGGUGUGCGGGGAAUCGACCCCCUGCGUGCCGGAGCUAACGCGUUAAGCGUUCCGCCUGGGGAGUACGGUCGCAAGAUUAAAACUCAAAGAAACUUGACGGGGACCCGCACAAGCGGUGGAGUAUGUGGCUUAAUUCGAUGCAACGCGAAGAACCUUACCCGGGCUUGACAUGCUAAUGAACAACAUGUGAAAGCAUGCGACUCUUAGGAGGCGUCACACAGGUGUAGCAUGGCCGUCGUCAGCUCGUGUCGUGAGAUGUUGGGUUAAGUCCAGCAACGAGCGCAACCCCUGUUGCCAGUUACCAGCACGUGAAGGUGGGGACUCUGGCGAGACUGCCCAGAUCAAAUGGGAGGAAGGUGGGGACGACGUCAGGUCAGUAUGGCCCUCAUGCCCAGGCCUGCACACGUACUACAAUGCCCAGUACAGAGGGGGCAGAAGCCGCGAGGCGGAGGAAAUCCUAAAAACUGGGCCCAGUUCGGACUGUAGGCUGCAACCCGCCUACAAGAAGCCGGAAUCGCUAGUAAUGGCGCAUCAGCUACGGCGCCGUGAAUAAGUUCCCGGCUCUUGCACACACCGCCCGUCA